Molecule: ribosomal RNA, 253 nt
Filed under: uncultured bacterium
Lineage: Bacteria
Description: partial 16S ribosomal RNA
Rfam family: Bacterial small subunit ribosomal RNA
Source: RNAcentral
UACGGGGGGGGGAAGGGGUGUUCGGAAUUACUGGGCGGAAAGGGCUUGUAGGCGGCCAAAUAAGGCAGACGUGAAAUCCCUCGGCUUAACCGGGGAACUGCGUCUGAUACUGGAUGGCUAGAGGUUGGGAGAGGGAUGCGGAAUUCCAGGUGUAGCGGUGAAAUGCGUAGAUAUCUGGAGGAACACCGGUGGCGAAGGCGGCAUCCUGGACCAAUUCUGACGCUGAGGAGCGAAAGCCAGGGGAGCAAACGGG